UACGGAGGAUGCGAGCGUUAUCCGGAUUUAUUGGGUUUAAAGGGUGCGUAGGUGGGCUUUUAAGUCAGCGGUAAAAAUUCGGGGCUCAACCCCGUCCGGCCGUUGAAACUGGGGGCCUUGAGUGGGCGAGAAGAAGGCGGAAUGCGUGGUGUAGCGGUGAAAUGCAUAGAUAUCACGCAGAACCCCGAUUGCGAAGGCAGCCUUCCGGCGCCCUACUGACGCUGAGGCACGAAAGUGCGGGGAUCGAACAGG
This 252-nucleotide ribosomal RNA is filed under the name uncultured bacterium. RNAcentral's name for it is "partial 16S ribosomal RNA". It matches the Rfam family "Bacterial small subunit ribosomal RNA", at positions 524 to 776 of the family's 1533-position model. The record is from RNAcentral.